UCCAGACUCCUACGGGAGGCAGCAGUGGGGGAUAUUGCACAAUGGGGGGAACCCUGAUGCAGCGACGCCGCGUGGGUGAAGAAGCGCCUCGGCGCGUAAAGCCCUGUCAGCAGGGAAGAAAAUGACGGUACCUGAAGAAGAAGCCCCGGCUAACUACGUGCCAGCAGCCGCGGUAAUACGUAGGGGGCAAGCGUUAUCCGGAUUUACUGGGUGUAAAGGGGGCGCAGACGGCGAUGCAAGCCAGGAGUGAAAGCCCGGGGCCCAACCCCGGGACUGCUCUUGGAACUGUCAAACUAGAGUACGGGAGAGGUAAGAGGAAUUCCUAGUGUAGCGGUGAAAUGCGUAGAUAUUAGGAGGAACACCAGUGGCGAAGGCGUCUUACUGGAUCGAAACUGACGUUGAGGCUCGAAAGCGUGGGGAGCAAACAGGAUUAGAUACCCCUGUAGGU
This 448-nucleotide ribosomal RNA is filed under the name uncultured bacterium. RNAcentral's name for it is "partial 16S ribosomal RNA". It matches the Rfam family "Bacterial small subunit ribosomal RNA", at positions 330 to 794 of the family's 1533-position model. The record is from RNAcentral.